GCUUCACAAAAUAUAAUCAUAUGAAUAUAUGUAAAAUAGCAACCAAUGAAACAAAUAUGCAAAAUAUAUAUGUGCUUCAAGAAAUAACAUAUUGUAUUCAGCAUGUCAAGAUUUAUAUAACUCAAGUCUAGACAAGAAGUCAAUUCAUGAGGGACUAUCAAAGAUUCACCACCAAGAAUAAAGUUCAUCAAGAUAAAAAGACAUGGCGUUAGACCAUCACUUCUGGAGAGGAACAUUUACCUGCAAUUACAACUAUUAUACUUCAAUUAUAUGAGUUUAAUACAUUAUAGUGCUUCAAUUUUUGUCUGAAAUAAUAAUUUGACAUUUAUUUUUCACAGAAAUGGUGAGGAACUUGAUUAGUUUCUUCAGCAGCAAUUUUGCAAUGAAGGUUGAUGUUUCACUAAAAGACUCCCAAACUUUCAAAAUAAUCGUAAAAAGAGUUGUAAUGAUUUUAUAUGUAGAUGUGGUUUGUUCACCAAUGAGACAACUAUCCGACGUAGUUAUUCACAAUAGAGCCUGCAUAGAUUCUAACAAAAAUAAUAACGUGCGAUAUAGACAAGUAUAUUUAGAAAAAAUCAGCAGUUUGAUAAUGAUUAAAAAAUACUGCAUCAGGUUAAGUAAUUGAACGUGGAUGCGUACUUUAGCAUCCCAAAUUGAAUAGCACCCUCCGAUUUAAACUGGUAUAAAUGUUAUUCUAGAACUUAAGAUUU
RNAcentral lists this long non-coding RNA (710 nucleotides) under Mytilus galloprovincialis (Mediterranean mussel). The record is from RNAcentral. Lineage: Eukaryota; Metazoa; Mollusca; Bivalvia; Mytilida; Mytilidae.